This 448-nucleotide ribosomal RNA is filed under the name Escherichia coli. RNAcentral's name for it is "partial 23S ribosomal RNA". It matches the Rfam family "Bacterial large subunit ribosomal RNA", at positions 612 to 1060 of the family's 2925-position model. Lineage: Bacteria; Pseudomonadati; Pseudomonadota; Gammaproteobacteria; Enterobacterales; Enterobacteriaceae. The record is from RNAcentral.
AUAAUGGGUCAGCGACUUAUAUUCUGUAGCAAGGUUAACCGAAUAGGGGAGCCGAAGGGAAACCGAGUCUUAACUGGGCGUUAAGUUGCAGGGUAUAGACCCGAAACCCGGUGAUCUAGCCAUGGGCAGGUUGAAGGUUGGGUAACACUAACUGGAGGACCGAACCGACUAAUGUUGAAAAAUUAGCGGAUGACUUGUGGCUGGGGGUGAAAGGCCAAUCAAACCGGGAGAUAGCUGGUUCUCCCCGAAAGCUAUUUAGGUAGCGCCUCGUGAAUUCAUCUCCGGGGGUAGAGCACUGUUUCGGCAAGGGGGUCAUCCCGACUUACCAACCCGAUGCAAACUGCGAAUACCGGAGAAUGUUAUCACGGGAGACACACGGCGGGUGCUAACGUCCGUCGUGAAGAGGGAAACAACCCAGACCGCCAGCUAAGGUCCCAAAGUCAUGGUU